Molecule: ribosomal RNA, 362 nt
Filed under: uncultured bacterium
Lineage: Bacteria
Description: bacterial SSU rRNA
Rfam family: Bacterial small subunit ribosomal RNA
Source: RNAcentral
GACGAACGCUGGCGGCGUGCUUAACACAUGCAAGUCGAGCGGUAAGGCCCUUUCGGGGGUACGACGAGCGGCGAACGGGUGAGUAACACGUGGGUGACCUGCCCUCAGCUCUGGGAGUAAGCCUGGGAAACUGGGUCUAAUACUGGAUAUGACUCCACGGUGCAUGUCGUGGGGUGGAAAGCCUUGUGCGGCUGAGGAUGGGCCCGCGGCCUAUCAGCUUGUUGGUGGGGUGAGGCCUACCAAGGCGACGACGGGUAGCCGGCCUGAGAGGGCGACCGGCCACACUGGGACUGAGAUACGGCCCAGACUCCUACGGGAGGCAGCAGUGGGGAAUCUUGCGCAAUGGGCGAAAGCCUGACGCA